Molecule: long non-coding RNA, 602 nt
Filed under: Gallus gallus (chicken)
Lineage: Eukaryota; Metazoa; Chordata; Aves; Galliformes; Phasianidae
Source: RNAcentral
GCUAAACUCCAUUAGUGAGCAAAGAUCACUAAAGCUCUGCCACUGAAGUCAGAGCUGCCUUCUGUCAGCAAAGCCAAGAGUUACUUGGAAUUGUAUGGAUGGGGAACAGGAUAGAUCCAGGUGGAUUGACCUAAGCCUGAGAACAUUAAGCUUCCCAUCCUUUCCAGAAGCAAAGUUCAUUCAGGCAUGAUUUAGGGUUAUUGAAGUAGUAAGAUCUGCUAGAAGACAAUGGAAGCAAAAAGAAGAAAUUAGAGCAGAAGAAAAUGAGGAACAGAGAAUGUGGAAAAAUUCCAGGAAUGAGAAAGAGACAGAAAACACAGAAGAAAGGCGGUAUAGACAGAAAAGAAAACUGUCUUUAACUAUUAUUGAGCAGGUAAUCUCUUUCAAAUUCUGGAAGAAAUAGAACCAAAGUUGAUGAGAGGCUUUUCCUUCAAUUAUUUAAGCUGCUUGUUUUUAAAACGCUAAAUGUAUUAGUGUAUGAGAAAACUUUAAAUGAAAAAAAACAUUAAGGAAGACAUGUACAUUGUACUUUAUUUCCUCUUUUUUCCUGUGUAAAAUAAAACAGUUAACGUUAAGAAUAUGAAAAACCUUAUUAAAACAGA